AUUGAACGCUGGCGGCAUGCUUUACACAUGCAAGUCGAACGGUAACAGGCCGCAAGGUGCUGACGAGUGGCGAACGGGUGAGUAAUGCAUCGGAACGUGCCCAGUCGUGGGGGAUAACGCAGCGAAAGCUGCGCUAAUACCGCAUACGAUCUCUGGAUGAAAGCGGGGGACCGAAAGGCCUCGUGCGAUUGGAGCGGCCGAUGUCAGAUUAGGUAGUUGGUGGGGUAAAGGCCCACCAAGCCAACGAUCUGUAGCUGGUCUGAGAGGACGACCAGCCACACUGGGACUGAGACACGGCCCAGACUCCUACGGGAGGCAGCAGUGGGGAAUUUUGGACAAUGGGCGCAAGCCUGAUCCAGCAAUGCCGCGUGCAGGAAGAAGGCCUUCGGGUUGUAAACCGCUUUUGUACGGAACGAAACGGUCCGGGUUAAUACCCUGGGCUAAUGACGGUACCGUAAGAAUAAGCACCGGCUAACUACGUGCCAGCCGCCGCUGUAA
Molecule: ribosomal RNA, 498 nt
Filed under: uncultured bacterium
Lineage: Bacteria
Description: partial 16S ribosomal RNA
Rfam family: Bacterial small subunit ribosomal RNA
Source: RNAcentral